UACGGAGGGGGUUAGCGUUGUUCGGAAUUACUGGGCGUAAAGCGCACGUAGGCGGACUAUUAAGUCAGGGGUGAAAUCCCGGGGCUCAACCCCGGAACUGCCCUUGAUACUGGCAGUCUAGAGUUCGAGAGAGGUGAGCGGAAUUCCGAGUGUAGAGGUGAAAUUCGUAGAUAUUCGGAGGAACACCAGUGGCGAAGGCGGCUCACUGGCUCGAUACUGACGAUGAGGUGCGAAAGUGUGGGGAGCAAACAGG
Molecule: ribosomal RNA, 253 nt
Filed under: uncultured bacterium
Lineage: Bacteria
Description: partial 16S ribosomal RNA
Rfam family: Bacterial small subunit ribosomal RNA
Source: RNAcentral